RNAcentral lists this long non-coding RNA (231 nucleotides) under Elaeis guineensis (African oil palm). RNAcentral describes it as "long non-coding RNA (EGUI_LNC076185)". The record is from RNAcentral. Lineage: Eukaryota; Viridiplantae; Streptophyta; Magnoliopsida; Arecales; Arecaceae.
CGUUGAAGACGGCACAACUAAUCUUGUGCCUCUCAACAUCGUCGGUUGUGCUAAAGGACUCGUUCAACAUUUGUAACAUAUCUUGUGGCUGAUCAUUCUCGAAACGAUGGCUAAACUCAUCAUUCAUUGCCGCUAGCAUAAUACAACAAAUCGUAGUUCGAUCAUUGAGCCACUUCUGAUAAAUGUCUUUGAUCGUGCUACAUACAUUCGGAGCUAGCUCUUCGGAUGCCG